AUUGAACGCUGGCGGCAGGCCUAACACAUGCAAGUCGAGCGAGCGGCGGACGGGUGAGUAAUGUAUGUGGACUGCACGAUAGAGGGGGAUAACGACAAGAAACGGUAGCUAUUAUCGCAUACUAUCGGAUAACCCAUAUGGGAUUGGCUCGUAGGUGAGGUAAUGGCGCACAUAGUCGACGAUCCCUAGCUGGUCUGAGAGGAUGAUCAGCCACACUGGAACUGAGACACGGCCCAGACUCCUACGGAGGCAGCAGUGGGGAAUAUUGCACAAUGGGCGCAAGCCUGAUGCAGCCAUGCCGCGUGUGUGAAGAAGGCCCUAGGGUUGUAAAGUACUUUCAGUGGGGAGGCGUUACCGACAGAAGAAGCACCGGCUAACUCCGUGCCAGCAGCCGCGGUAAUAC
This 403-nucleotide ribosomal RNA is filed under the name uncultured bacterium. RNAcentral describes it as "partial 16S ribosomal RNA". It matches the Rfam family "Bacterial small subunit ribosomal RNA", at positions 30 to 526 of the family's 1533-position model. The record is from RNAcentral.